GGUCCGUUGGCCCAAUGGUAAGGCGUCUGACUACGAUACAGUAUGUAAUCAGGAGAUUCUGGGUUCGACCCCCAGGCGGACCU
Molecule: transfer RNA, 83 nt
Filed under: Hypoxylon trugodes
Lineage: Eukaryota; Fungi; Ascomycota; Sordariomycetes; Xylariales; Hypoxylaceae
Description: tRNA-Arg
Rfam family: tRNA
About the family: Transfer RNA (tRNA) molecules are approximately 80 nucleotides in length.
Source: RNAcentral